UGCUGCUUUGAGUAUUGAGAUGGAU
This 25-nucleotide non-coding RNA is filed under the name Mus musculus (house mouse). Lineage: Eukaryota; Metazoa; Chordata; Mammalia; Rodentia; Muridae. The record is from RNAcentral.